CGAGUGCAUAUCUAAUGACUUCUUUUGUG
RNAcentral lists this non-coding RNA (29 nucleotides) under Mus musculus (house mouse). The record is from RNAcentral. Lineage: Eukaryota; Metazoa; Chordata; Mammalia; Rodentia; Muridae.